This is a long non-coding RNA of Rattus norvegicus (Norway rat), 5552 nucleotides long. RefSeq lists it as uncharacterized. Lineage: Eukaryota; Metazoa; Chordata; Mammalia; Rodentia; Muridae. The record is from RefSeq and is a predicted model, not a curated record.
GUUAUUUAUUGAGUGCCAUUCCUUUGGGUGGAACCGUGCAGAGCACACACCAGACAGGGCCUCCAUCCAAGGAAAUGGAACUCAGAUGGUUGUGAUUCAUGAGAUAAUGAUAAAGUCCCUCAGGUUGUGCAAGGGAGCUCCGAGAUGACAUCAGCCUUGGAUGUCUCAGUGCGAAGAAGCUUCCAUAUGAGAGGAAGGGGAUUAUGGUGUCUGACACCAAAGGACCAACAAUGCUUCUAGCACUGCUCUCAUGCAGCCGGAUUAAUCGCAUGUGAAGGAAGGCUAUUUGAAGACGAUUCAGCCAAGGGGCAAGCCAGCGUCCAGAGAUAAAGUGGCAGAGCUGGGAUCUAAAGGAACAGAAGGCUGACUCAAAUGGUUCCUCCCUAGAAGACUUGAGAAGAAUUUGGAUGGCAUUAAGAGGGAGCCGAAAUAAAUUUGGUUUCUUUUUCCAGAUUUUCCGAUAAAAUGUGAGGUAGAAUGUUUUCUUGACCUCAGAAAGUUAAGUCUACUGGGCUUUCUGGUGAUGGAGUUUAACUGUUUGGGUAACUACUUAAAAUUUCACUUGCGAAAUUAAGAAUGAUUCUUCCUUUUGAACCAGAUACUGUAUAAUUUUUAAUUUAUGGAAAAGAUAAAUGGUACCUGACUUUUUAGGAUAAAAUAUUAUUUUCAAACAGUUUAAUUUCUAUCGCUGCCAACAUAUAUACUUUUUUUAAAAAAAGAUUUAUUCAUUUAUUAUAUAUAAGUACACUGUAGCUGUCUUCAGAUACAGCAGAAGAGGGCAUCGGAUCUCUUUACAGAUGGUUGUGAGCCACCAUGUGGUUGCUGGGAAUUGAACUCAGGACCUCUGGAAGAGUAGUCGGGUGCUCUUAACCACUGAGCCAUCUCUCCAGCCCCCAUAUAUACUUUUUUAUGCUUUUAUAUAUUAAGCCUUUAAACGCUUAGUUUAUUUCUGUUCCUAUAAAGAUUGGGAUUCAAAUAGAGUGUCUGUUAUAGCAUAGAGGAUUAAAGGCAACUGGAGUUUAAAAAAAUGAGCUGAGUCAAAGCUUGGCAUAACAUUUCUAAUUGUAUUCUAUGUACCACUAAUGUUUCUAAAGACAUUGAACAGUGUUCUAUGUAAAUGAAAUUCUAUUGCCAGGGCAAGCCUCAAAAGGAGAGAACAAAUGAAAUAUUGGAUUUCAAGAGCCCCUGAUCUGUUAGAGGGCAUUGUGAAUCCCAAGAGAGACAAUGAAUGCAGCUUCUCCUGUUUCCUUUUUUAUAAAGGGCCUGUUUUGUAGAACAUGUCUUAGGAAUCGUGGAUGACUUAGGGCAUGAGCAAACAGCAACUCACAGGACACUGGCAGGCUUCACGGCUGUGGUCCUCAUGGUGCUUAGGGGGACUCCUGUGUUAGGCUUGACGCUCUGCCGCCAACUAGUCUGUUGUAAGUGAAACUGGAUGGAAGUGUGGGGCAAGCACAGCGCAGAGGAUUCUUGCUGAGCCGUACGACGUACGGGGGCGGGGGGUGUUCAGGCCAACGUGUGUACUCCCCAUCGGACUGGGAUUCUCUGCAGCCGUACGUAUUCAAGCAGACAGACAGACUGCUAUAAAAUACAAGAUGGAAGCUGAGGCUGGACCUAGAUCCACAUUGGAGGCAUCUACAAAGGCGUCAGCAGCAGGAGAUGGGCUCUGCUGGGGACAGGCAGCCUCAGGUCUCGGGGGUGAAACCUAAGUUUGCCAGUCGUUUUUGUGGCCAGCUUAUCCUAUUGGCACCUUUUAGCUCUGGAUCUUGGGCCUGUGAUUUCUGAAGCUCAAGAAAUAAACUCACUGAGUAAAUUAUUACCAAAUACAUGUGGAUACAGGGCUUGGGAUGUAGCUUUGCGGUAGAGCGCUUGUCUGGGUCGGUGAGACCCUGGGUUUUUCCCAGAAACACACACACACACACACACACACACACACACACACACACUCUCUCUCUCUCUCUCUCUCUCUCUCUCUCUCUCUCUCUCUCUCUCUCUCUCUUCAGAAUAGUCCGGUGAAACAUUGUAGGAAAUUAUUAUAGUUCUUCAGACUUUAGACUCUCUAGUUAUAAUUGCAUGAUUACAAAGCAAAUAAUAUGUUAAUAUCAGCUUAGAAACAGAAACUUAAUUUCAAGAUUACCAGUCUUUGGAAAACAGUACCAUUUUUGUAUAUUGCUUGGAAUUCAUUAAAUUAUGAUGAGAAAGAAAAAUCUUUUAAAUGUCUUGUCAUUGAAGACACUGGUCGACUCCAAAGAGACAUUUUGAAUUACAUUCACAUUGCGAGUUCCUUUUUCAGUUCGUUGAAGACUGAGCCAGUUAGAAGUGUUAGAGAAAGCAGGACACCAUUGUGGUACACACUGGCAUUCAUAACUAAACAUAGAUGUCCACAAACACAUGCAGAAGAAAAAGCAAGUCUCCCUAGAAAAUUGAUCGUGCAUGUAAUUACCUGUGGAUUAAAAUUUAUUGUUUGGAAUUAUUGAAUCUGAAACUUGCCUCAGUAUUACCACUAUUUAGGAGAAACAAGGCAAUUUCAGUCAAUCAGGGCAUCUCACUAACAAAAUACUGAUUUUUGCUAUAUGUUGUAUAAAACUAUUAUGCUAUGUUUUAGCUUUAGGUUGCUACUCAGUUUACCCUUAUAAAACAAUUCACAAAGGCCAAAGGUAGGAUUUUGUAUUUUUGUGUUUGUGUGUGCAUUUAACAGAACUUUGUACCGUCUCUUUGAAAAUAGCAUGGCACCCCAGUUUCACUCAUGCAGGUAAACAUGUAACACAUACUACCACAAUAAACAUUUAGGGUCAAAUAUUUCAAUAAAUGGCAACCAAUUCAGGCUUCUCUGAGAAAAGCCAGACUGGAAAAGAGUAGGCAAACUCUGAAAAGAGCAAAUCCAGCUAAUUCUAAUUCCAGGAGUCUCUUUAAUUUUGGGGGGUUGGGGAAGCUAUAAGUAUUUUUCGUCUUGUUUCUUUUAAAAUUAUUUAGGCUGAUGAAUCUCAGAGACAGUUGACGAACGGCGGAGUGCAGAGUUGCCAUGCUCCACAGAGAUCCAUCCCAGUGCAGGCUUAUAAAACGGUUUUCUGGCUUUCCACUCUUCUAACCCAUGAGACAUAUAUUAGUUUCAGUAGAAUAAAAUCGUUAAGGAUAUAUAUAUAUAUAUGUGUGUAUAUAUAUAUAUAUAUCAAGUUCUGCGUUACUAUAACUGAAAUAACAGCUUUAAAACUCAGUGUCUCCUACAUCUGAAUUUUACAAGCACCCACCACCACCACCACCACCACCACCACCACCAAAAUAAAUACAAAAACGAUGUGUGUGUGUGUGCAUGCUGUUGCUUUAAGAAUGAGCCAACAGGUAAGAACAAUGCCUGCUCUUCCAGAGGAUCCCAGUUCAAUUUUCAGUACUUACAUGGUGGCUCACAGACAGCUGUAACUGCAGUUCCAAGGAGUAUGGUGUCCUCUUCCGGCUUCUUUGGGUACCAGACAAGCACACAGUGCACAGACAUGCAGGCAAAACACCCAUACAUAUUUAAAAUAUAAAUAAAUACAUUUUUAAAAAGGAUGGAGAUAUUGGGCUCCUCUCAGUAUCAAACUGGACCAUUACCUUGAGGGAAUAAAUUUGUUUCUGUGUUUACAGGCAUUAUUAGGAUUAUAACUCCCCAAUUUUUUUUAUUUAGGUGACUUUUAGAAAUGUGGAAACAUUCCUUUCCAUUACAGCUGUUUCCCUUAAUGUCUCCAGCCCUAGAGGAAUAUUUAUCUCGUGUUUGAGCUAUAACACUCUUACUUUGUGGAAUUAAAUGGCGGCUCCCCUCAGAGAAAGCAUUCGCUGUCUUUCCACCAUUCAUCCCCUUCCUUUUCCACAGAGGGACUACAUCCUCAUGUGAUCCUUCCAGUGGGUACGGUUUUCAACUCGGUCAUGCUAGGAAAGUGCCCACCACCCUGACAAACUUGCGAUGACUUGCUGGAUUUCAGUUAACUAAUAUAAAAAGAGUCCUUGGCCGGUGAAAAUGUCCUUGGUGUCAUUGUUGCAAGUAGAUAAAUGCCAGCUUGAAUCUGCAUGCAAAAGGCAAAGGAUUAAUGCAACAUCCCUUAGUUUCUUCCAGAGGAAAAUGGAACUCAGAGCGGAAUUUUACAAAAUCCAAUUUGUUAGUGGGAAGACAAUGGCUACAUCAGGCCAUUAUUUCAACCUUUCCUGGCACUUAAAUAUGACUUCUGCCCAUUGAAUGAUUCUGCUUCUCUGUCCGUUCAGUGCUUUCUUGAGCUCAGUGAGCUGUGGUUCCCAAGGAGAGCUUUUUCAGUCUUCAUCUGCUUUGGUUGUUUUGUUUGAGAUUUCGUUGAACUAACAGAGUAUUGAUUUAUUUUCCUUUUUCCUUAAACUUAGACCGUGAAACCUAAAUUAUGCAAAUGGCCUCAGGUUCCCAGGAAAAAAGGCACGCUGCCUUCAGCACGUGGGGGGUUUCAGCCAUUCAGAUGUGUGAAUGCUCUGAAAGUCUCAUCGCUUUCCAUCCCCAGCCUGAUCUGAACUGAUCUGCAGCUCCUGACAUCCCGGUCAAGUUCUAGAGUCUGGAAGCCAGAAUACUAUGGACAGAUUGCUGUGUCUUUUUUUUUUUUUCCCCGGAGCUGGGGACCGAACCCAGGGCCUUGCGCUUCCUAGGUAAGCGCUCUACCACUGAGCUAAAUCCCCAGCCCCGCUGUGUCUUUUCAUAGUCCGAAUGAAGGCUUUUCUUUUCCAAUAGCAUUUCUUUUCAUUUACUUCCCCCAGUCUAGCAAAUGACCCAAAUGUCUAUGAAAAACCAGCAAGCAAGCAGCAAACCCUACAGAAGGCAAGGCGUUUCCUUUCACCUCCCACAUGGCAUGCCUUAACAUUCCUGUUUUCACCCAGGCACCAAACCUGCCUGGCCCACCUCUCUCCGUCACUGUAGGGUCACAAACUCCCAUGACCGUUCUCAUCUCUCAUCUAGGAUCUCACCUUAGCUUACUUAAUGGUCCCGGGCUUUUCCUGUUACCUCUUAUUAUUCAUGCUCCAAAAACCAGCCAUUAUGACUCUCUUCAAAUGUUAAGUCAGACCCUGUGAUAUUUUACGUACAGUCCUGUACAAUUUUACAUACAAGGCCUAGCUGUCUGACAGCCCUUUCGACUCUAUCCUUAGAUCCUUAUAGUUUGGUCCUCCUGGCUAUAUCCCAUUUUUUUUGAAGAUGCUAAGUCUAUUUUUGCCUUUGCCUUAACUCAGCUGAUAUCUGUGUGGUUAGAGGAGUGUGCACAUCCCUCCGUUUCUCACCCAUUUAAGUUCGACUAUAGCGUUAUGCCAAUGACUUUCACACGAACGUACAUCCCAUUCUACCAGAAAACAGCUUGGCAGAAGUAAAGAAGCGUCCCUUAGACCUAACCGCACUGUGGAAGGAUUCACACUGAGCCAAAUUUGCCAUCACACUUCAGCUUUUUGAAAUCUUUCUCAGUUCUUCAGAAACCGCCAUGCUCUUCUUGGAGUAUUCUGGUCAGCAAGAGAGGAAGGUUCUGGAAGCUGAGUACUACUCCCCACCCAAUGACUGAAUAAAAUAGUGGUUUAAGGGA